UACGAAGGGGGCGAGCGUUGUUCGGAUUUACUGGGCGUAAAGGGCGCGCAGGCGGCUUAUUUUGUCAGGCGUGAAAGCCCCGGGCUUAACCUGGGAACUGCGUUUGAUACGGAUGGGCUAGAGUUCGGGAGAGGAGCGUGGAAUUCCCAGUGUAGAGGUGAAAUUCGUAGAUAUUCGGAAGAACACCAGUGGCGAAGGCGGCUCACUGGACCGGUAUUGACGCUGAGGUGCGAAAGCGUGGGGAGCGAACAGG
This 253-nucleotide ribosomal RNA is filed under the name uncultured bacterium. RNAcentral describes it as "partial 16S ribosomal RNA". It matches the Rfam family "Bacterial small subunit ribosomal RNA", at positions 524 to 776 of the family's 1533-position model. The record is from RNAcentral.